UACGAAGGUCCCAAGCGUUGUCCGGAAUUAUUGGGCGUAAAGGGCUCGUAGGCGGUCUGUCGCGUCGGGAGUGAAAACACGGGGCUUAACCCCGUGCCUGCUUCCGAUACGGGCAGACUAGAGGUAUGCAGGGGAGAACGGAAUUCCUGGUGUAGCGGUGAAAUGCGCAGAUAUCAGGAGGAACACCGAUGGCGAAGGCAGGUCUCUGGGCAUUAACUGACGCUGAGGAGCGAAAGCAUGGGGAGCGAACAGG
Molecule: ribosomal RNA, 253 nt
Filed under: uncultured bacterium
Lineage: Bacteria
Description: partial 16S ribosomal RNA
Rfam family: Bacterial small subunit ribosomal RNA
Source: RNAcentral